Molecule: long non-coding RNA, 4578 nt
Organism: Acipenser ruthenus (sterlet)
Lineage: Eukaryota; Metazoa; Chordata; Actinopteri; Acipenseriformes; Acipenseridae
Exons: 4
Source: RefSeq, a predicted model, not a curated record
GGACGGCCCUCUAUUGGAGAAACCAUGGCAACGGGUUGAUUGCAGGGAGGGCUUUGUGGGUACAAAGGGGAAGCAGCUAUGUCAGUACACCGCCUUGCGCUGACGUGUACAGACGGCCGGAGCCUGUACUGUUUACCUUUUGUUUUGUGGUUUGUGUUUUUUCGUUGCAGACGAGGAGUGAGCCGUGGACCGGCAGUCACAAGCACUGCCCUGCACAGCACAACACAGCACCGCACCACACUCACUGGCACUACGCUUCCCAGGACGUGCACAGAGGACGGGGGGGACGGACAAAGUCCAGUUUGUUUAUUUUUGUUUAUGAACUGAAAACCUGCCAUGUACCCCCCCAAUACCAUCGUUGGUAAAGGGGCGGAUUAUUUUUGUUAUUAUUAUUAUUAUUUAUUAUUAUUAAAUACAUGGACUGUUUUGGGAGAAACGCUGUUUGUACAUUCUUUUUAUUCACUGUACCACUGCACCUGACGACAUUUGGUAUGCAGAAGAGGGAUUACAAAUGGACCCAACCGCAUUGGCAGUGCUGUUGGAGGCACAGGAGCAGAGGCAUCAGGAAUCAUUGACGGCCAUGAUGGAAAGGAUGCAUGGCCUGUUCCUGGAGGCUAAUCAGGGGAGGGAACCAGCAGCUCAACCAGCAGUACCCCUACCAAGGGUGAGGGUAGCGAAGAUGUCGCUGGAGGAUGACCCCAAGGCUUACUUAGUUGCCUUUGAAAGACAGGCAACAGCAGCUCAGUGGCCUCGGGAGUUGUGGGCUACCCAGUUGGGCCCCAAUUUGAUCGGAGAGACCCAGGCAGCCUACCAAGCCCUGACACAUGAGCAAGCUCUGGUGUACGACCAGGUUAAGCAGGUCAUUCUUCAGCGGCUUGACAUCACGGAGGAGACACACCGCCGCCGAUCCCGGGAAUACCAGUGACCCCCAGGACUGCGACCCCAGUGGCUCUGCCCCGGCACCAACGAAAUAAGACAGAAAUUUAUCACAUUAACCUGCUAAAACCCUGGAAUGAAAGGUCAGCCCUAUUUAUAGCUUGUGACAGUUUAGAAGAGGAUUUUGGUCCCACUGUCAAUCCACUGGCUACAACUAACAUUCCGAUGGGAGAACAGUUACUUCUGGAUCAGAAACGUGAGCUCCACCAGUUGGUGGAAAGGUUUACUGAUGUUUUUUUCUGAUUUGCUGGGCAGAACUAAUGUUAUUUCUGCUAUUAUUACUCCGCCAAGUGUCAGGGUCCGAGAAAGACCGUACCGGAUCCCGUAUCAGAUUUAUGCACUUACCCGUCACACGCGAUUUCCAGCUCCAGUUUUCUGAUACAAAGCCCAUCUCUUCAAUGUUACAAUUGACUUGUUUAACUGUCACAGCCAGCAUUUUUUUUUUAUUUCAUUUUUUGCACUGCAAAUCAGUCUGUCUUUGUUCUGCACUGCAGUUACACAGCGCUUCUUCCAAAAAGCAAAUCGAACGAGACAAGCACGUUAAUGUAGAAGUUAAUCAUUAAACAGUUUUAGAUACUGUGCUGCAUUUAAAAAAAAAAAUCUGUGAUCUUUAGAUGCUUUUGUGCAUUUUCAUUUGCAAGUAAACUGUGACAUUAGGUUCUUAUCCAGCACUAUAUUUGGCAAUUUUGAAGACUGACUUUGGAUACUGUUUUAAUUCCGGAAACUGGUGUGUGACAGAGAGCGAAUAAAUCCUAGUCAACAAUCUCCCUCCCGACCUGUGAGGGCGCUGUAUAACAGGAACAGUGUGCCUCGUACUGGAUGGUCUGGCAUUUCAUUCCAGGGUCAGUCGGAACCCGCAAGAGAAGUUUGCAACCAAAAGCGCCUGUCAGGCAGCCCCGCCUCACAGGCAGAUAACAACAAAAGAGCACAACUUUUAAUGUCACACAUCUAAGCCCGCCUUGCAACUCCUACAGCUACGCCAUUUGCUCUCUGUAUUGGAGUUUGAAAGCUCGCCAGACAGUUUGAAGUUGGGUAGUUAGGAACAGAUGGACCAAUAUUGGAUUGAAUCCAUUGAAGAUUCGCUAAAGAGAGAGGUGGACCCAGACAUCAUCCUAAGAGUGAACCUGCUGUUUAAAACCAAAUCUGAAGAAAAUUUCAUCCAUGAAGUCUUGGAAGAAGUUAGCUGUAAUGAAGAUGGAUUCUUUACAGCAAGACGUCAAGCUAAAACUCAAUAUAUUAUAGAUGUGAAAGAGCAAAUAAACCAAAAGGAAAAUCACUUGGAAUUCCCUGGAAAACAAGAGCCAACGGUUGCAGGGCAUCUGUUAGUUUUAAUUUCAUAAAUGACUCUGCUUUCAAAGGCUGUGUUGUUCGUAUAUAGCUGUUAGGGCAGCAGAGUGGGCAAAACAGCAAGGUUUUGAUGAUUUGUGUGACCGUAGAUAUUUUGUCACACCCCACGAUGUGAAAGUGAUUAAAGAACAGAGUCUCACUAGACUAUACCUGGGUAAUGCUGAUUCGUCUAGCGUAGAUAAACUUCUCAAAACAGAUCUUAAAGACCAUGUGUUGUUCUAUAAGCCUUUAGCUCGCAGUGUUUCAAACCACUCAUGAUUGUCCUAUCCACGGAGUGUCAGCUUCAACAGCUACAGAAACAUGGGAAAGACAUUAUUUUUUUUAGAUGCUACAUAUAAAGGCGUGACUGCAUAUGCAUUUGCAUUGUAUGCCCUGAUUGUUAGCAAUGAAGCAGGUCGUGGUGUACCUGUUGCAUUCUUUAUUUUAAGUGAAUAAAACAGUCAGAAUCUUGGAUUGUGUCUUCAGAAGGUGAAAGAUGCCCUAAAUAAGUUCACACCAAGGUAAUUGUUUUUAAUUAGUCAUUUAUCAGGUGCUUUUAUCCAAGAGAUUAGGGGUAAACUAUAUAUCAACAACUGCUGAUGCAGAGUGACUCAGUUUUAUGUUUCUUCUUUCAGUUAUUCAAUGCCUUUGAGCACUAAGGCCUGCCCCAAAUCUAAAUUUUGACCCACCCGCUAAUCGCAAAUUACAAACCUGGUACUGAUGUCAGAAGGUUAUUCCUUCUACCCCAGAGGGAACCCGCCAUUAAUACUGGGUUUGUAAUUUGCGAAAUUUGGUAUAGGCCAAUGGUUGUUUCCUUACAAAAUAGGGGGAAUACUAAUAUUACUAAUUUGAACUAAUUCUGUUACAGAUGUAUAAUGAUAGACAAGGACAUGAAGGAAAGGAAUGCUGUGAGAGAUGUUUUCCCAAAUGCUGUCAUCCUGCUCUGUUGGUUUCAUGUAUUCAUAAGGUUUUAUUCCUAUUAGUGACUUCUACCUGUAUGUAGACCCGGGGAGAGAUGAGCACAUACAUUUACUGAGACACUUCAUUUAUAGGCUGUCCAUAUAUGGUUGGUCCAGAAGGAUGGAGGGAACUUGAAUGUUUCAGAGAGGAAUGAAGUCAUCAGGUCCAUGAUUAAGAUGAUUAAGCAAUAUAGUACACAGGGAGAGUUUUCCACAGAAGCAGAACAUGUGCUUAAGCAUCUCUGUGAUGUGACAAGGGACACACAUGUCAGCGACUACCUGAAGGAAAAUUGGCUUUCUAUUGCAAGUAUGUGGUCACAGUUUGGUCGACAGAUGUAUCACGGAAAUAAUGAGUCAAAUAAUUUAUCAGAAAGGUACAUAGAUGAAUUGCACAAAGUUGGAAGAAUUCAAGCAGGAACCAACCCAGCAGCUGUCAGUAAUUCCUCUGCUAAAAAAAAUGAUCGACAAAGGACUGUCUCCGUUCUGCAAUGUAAAAGAUAAUGGGGAUUGUUCUGUUCCUUCGGUAUACACUAAGGGCAAGUUUUACAGUGUUGGCCUCACAUUCUUAACCUGUAACUGUCCUUUUGCUUUACUUGGUGGCUAUCUGGUUGUGCAUUGUGAUGAUGGUCAACUCAUUGUUUGCAAUGGUCAGUGUAGCUGUAGGGCAAAUAAUUUUGGUGAAACGUGUAUGCUUACUAGUUCAGCAAUUUGUACAUGACACUCAAAGCAAAAGGCUUGAAACUCCAGUUGUGGAGGCUCAGUCUUCAGAUCCUGUGCCAGAGACAACAAGAAGCAACCAACUGUCCACAUCUCAGAUGAUAGCAGACUUAAAUGCCUGGUCAAACAGUCAAUUUUAAAGACACAAUGAAAUUGCACUGUGCUGUAAAAAUAGAUAAAAAGAAAAAUGUAUCCAUUGCACAGGUACCGCUCUAAUUGUGAGAAAGAGAUAAAAAAAAAUCAGGAUCAUUUGUAUGCUAAAUAUUCUAAAAGACCUAAUACAAUUCUUAAUUCUAAGUCUACUGAUAGCAGCUUUACCUCAGUUUCUAAAAGAAAAUAUAUGUGCAAAACAAAAUCAAGAGCACAAUCCAUGAAAUUCGUCUUAAAAAAAAAAAAGUUGAGAAUAAGUGAAAGAUUAAAAAAAAAAUCAGGAGCUACAAUUGAUAUUUUCAUACACAAAAUAAAAAGCUAAAUACAGUCAAACCUGCUCCCCUUUAUUUAAUUUAGAGACCACCUGCUCAUGUGACCACUUUUAAUUCCUCCCAAUGAUAUUUGUGCUUUUAUUUACCUGGAUUAAGAGACUACCUGUCUAACGUGACCAGUGACCACAAUUCUCUUACCCAGCAGUGGACUUAAACCU